GAUCUAUGAUGACUCCUGCGCCCUGUGAUGGUUGGGUCCAUCGCCACUCUCUGAUCAUCUGAUGAGAUUUGCGCUACUGAGAUC
This is a small nucleolar RNA of Humulus lupulus (European hop), 84 nucleotides long. RefSeq annotates it as small nucleolar RNA snoR114. The record is from RefSeq and is a predicted model, not a curated record. The transcript has a single exon. Lineage: Eukaryota; Viridiplantae; Streptophyta; Magnoliopsida; Rosales; Cannabaceae.